GCUCAGGAUGAACGCUGGCGGCGUGCCUAAUACAUGCAAGUCGAGCGAACUGAUUAGAAGCUUGCUUCUAUGACGUUAGCGGCGGACGGGUGAGUAACACGUGGGCAACCUGCCUGUAAGACUGGGAUAACUUCGGGAAACCGAAGCUAAUACCGGAUAGGAUCUUCUCCUUCAUGGGAGAUGAUUGAAAGAUGGUUUCGGCUAUCACUUACAGAUGGGCCCGCGGUGCAUUAGCUAGUUGGUGAGGUAACGGCUCACCAAGGCAACGAUGCAUAGCCGACCUGAGAGGGUGAUCGGCCACACUGGGACUGAGACACGGCCCAGACUCCUACGGGAGGCAGCAGUAGGGAAUCUUCCGCAAUGGACGAAAGUCUGACGGAGCAACGCCGCGUGAGUGAUGAAGGCUUUCGGGUCGUAAAACUCUGUUGUUAGGGAAGAACAAGUACAAGGAGUAACUGCUCUGUACCUUGACGGUACCUAACCAG
RNAcentral lists this ribosomal RNA (485 nucleotides) under Priestia megaterium. Its description in RNAcentral is "bacterial SSU rRNA". It matches the Rfam family "Bacterial small subunit ribosomal RNA", at positions 22 to 486 of the family's 1533-position model. The record is from RNAcentral. Lineage: Bacteria; Bacillati; Bacillota; Bacilli; Caryophanales; Bacillaceae.